GACAGAGGGUGCAAACGUUGUUCGGAAUUACUGGGCGUAAAGCGCGUGUAGGCGGCUACAUAAGUCGGACGUGAAAUCCCAUGGCUCAACCGUGGAAGUGCGCUCGAAACUGUGUAGCUUGAGUCCUGGAGAGGAAAGCGGAAUACUUGGUGUAGAGGUGAAAUUCGUAGAUAUCAGGUAGAACACCAGUGGCGAAGGCGGCUUUCUGGACAGUGACUGACGCUGAGACGCGAAAGCGUGGGGAGCAAACAGG
This 253-nucleotide ribosomal RNA is filed under the name uncultured bacterium. RNAcentral's name for it is "partial 16S ribosomal RNA". It matches the Rfam family "Bacterial small subunit ribosomal RNA", at positions 524 to 776 of the family's 1533-position model. The record is from RNAcentral.